AAGAUCGGUUGCUGAUUCUCGAUGGUCUCGGUAGUUUUCAACCCACUUGCUUUACUGUGCAAACUUCAAUUCAUACUUGAUAUCGAACAAACGAACAAACCGAGCUAAUUAUCGUUGAUUUCUUCUUCAUCUGGUAAUAUUACAGUUAGUAGGGAAAACUUAACCCGAAGGGAGAUCCGCCCCUUCUCCACCAUGAGUCUUGCCCCAGAAACAACCCAAUACCCAGGAGUCUCUUGGGGUCCUCUCUUCAUUUCAGUAGUAUCUACAAAUUUCAGAAGCUUAGGGGCCUGUACAGGUACUGGUGGACCUCCAGGAUACACAGCAGAGUUUAUAUUCACAUCAGCGGGUUUUGGAGGUGGUUUCAUAGCUGUUGAGAAAUGAUGACUGAUUAGUGUUGAUAUGAGUCCAGACUUGGCUGCUAAGCCAGGUGAACCUUCCCACUCUGGCUGCCUUACAACCGUUGCUCCCAAAACCGAAGAGA
RNAcentral lists this unclassified non-coding RNA (481 nucleotides) under Hevea brasiliensis (rubber tree). The record is from RNAcentral. Lineage: Eukaryota; Viridiplantae; Streptophyta; Magnoliopsida; Malpighiales; Euphorbiaceae.